This 393-nucleotide ribosomal RNA is filed under the name uncultured bacterium. RNAcentral describes it as "partial 16S ribosomal RNA". It matches the Rfam family "Bacterial small subunit ribosomal RNA", at positions 523 to 918 of the family's 1533-position model. The record is from RNAcentral.
AUACGGAGGAUCCGAGCGUUAUCCGGAUUUAUUGGGUUUAAAGGGAGCGUAGGCGGACGCUUAAGUCAGUUGCGAAAGUUUGCGGCUCAACCGUAAAAUUGCAGUUGAUACUGGGUGUCUUGAGUACAGUAGAGGCAGGCGGAAUUCGUGGUGUAGCGGGGAAAUGCUUAGAUAUCACGAAGAACUCCGAUUGCGAAGGCAGCUUGCUGGACUGUAACUGACGCUGAUGCUCGAAAGUGUGGGUAUCAAACAGGAUUAGAUACCCUGGUAGUCCACACAGUAAACGAUGAAUACUCGCUGUUUGCGAUAUACAGUAAGCGGCCAAGCGAAAGCGUUAAGUAUUCCACCUGGGGAGUACGCCGGCAACGGUGAAACUCAAAGGAAUUGACGGGG